UACGGGAGGCAGCAGUAGGGAAUAUUGCACAAUGGGGGAAACCCUGAUGCAGCGACGCCGCGUGAGUGAUGAAGUAUUUCGGUACGUAAAGCUCUAUCAGCAGGGAAGAUAAUGACGGUACCUGACUAAGAAGCCCCGGCUAACUACGUGCCAGCAGCCGCGGUAAU
This 167-nucleotide ribosomal RNA is filed under the name uncultured rumen bacterium. RNAcentral's name for it is "partial 16S ribosomal RNA". It matches the Rfam family "Bacterial small subunit ribosomal RNA", at positions 340 to 524 of the family's 1533-position model. The record is from RNAcentral.